RNAcentral lists this unclassified non-coding RNA (1955 nucleotides) under Leishmania donovani. RNAcentral describes it as "gene:LdHU3.34.0050(CDS-product:protein_kinase_put ative)". Lineage: Eukaryota; Euglenozoa; Kinetoplastea; Trypanosomatida; Trypanosomatidae. The record is from RNAcentral.
UAUGCUUGUGAGAGUUUUUGCAUUUUUUCGUGAGAAUCCGCGGAACGCGUGUCGUGUGCGAAAAUGGGCAAUUACUUUUCACUUUGUCCUGAGCCCUUCCAUGGCCUCAUCAGCUCACACGGUAUAGGAUCGACGUCAAGCACACAUCCGUCUGGAGUGGCGGUGAAAGGCCAGGAAUAUUCCGCAGUGAAGCUGGUCGGGGAGGGCGGAUACUCUUUCGUGUAUGAAGGAUACAACAACGCCAGUGGACAACGGGUCGCGUUGAAGCGGUAUGUGUUUUCAGAAACGCAACAGCAGCAGGGAGCUGUUGAAGAGAUGAGCAUUUACCGCGAUGUCUGCCCCAAUGACUAUAUAGUAACGUACCUCGAUUCUGAAGUAGUUUAUCGACAUGGAGUGCCGUUGCCAGAGAUGUGGGUAGUGAUGGAGUUCUGUGACGGUCCUUCCUUGCAGGAGUACAUUAACAAUCGACUGCGGUCCCCUCAGCCUUUCUCGGUGCGUGAGGUGUUCGAAAUCGUCGACAAUAUUGUACAUGCAAUCGGCCACUUGCACUCACAAUCACCGCCUGUUUCUCAUUGGGACAUUAAGCCUGAAAAUUUCUUGUUUACCGAUACAGGCCGGCUGAAGCUAUGCGAUUUUGGAAGCGCAACGCGGCAGUUCUACGCACCCACGUCAGCGGAAGAGGUAUCUGCUGCUGAGUCAGAGUUGGGAUCAAGGAUGACGCUUCUCUACCGACCGCCUGAAUCACUGGACCUGUGGUCGAAGGAUCGCGUCGACACCAAAGCUGACAUCUGGGCACUUGGUGUCAUCAUUUAUGUGCUGGUGUUUCGCGAGAUGCCGUUUGACGCAAACCCGAUGGAGGUCAUGGCGGCAGUGCCGAAGCGAUACAAGGGCAAAACACAGGAGGGCUGCCCCGAGGAGUUUAGGGCUCUCAUGGACAUUGUGCGCACGAAAAUGCUAACUAAAAAGCCUGCGGAUCGUGCUGACAUAUUUGCCAUUUCUGAAGAGCUGGAAGGCAUCACGCACCUGCCGCCGCUUUCGCGCCCGCGGCCCGGGUUCCAGAGCGCGCAGCGACCGCGGUUCGCUUGAAUCCCAAGGGUUUGCGUGAGCUUGGACAUUCGAAAACCGUAGUGGGCGCCCUUCGAGUUACUGUGCUGUGCGUAAAUGUAUCAAAGGGAAGUCGCUACCUUCAUUGCUUUUCGAUCUGCUUUUGCCCUUAUACGUGAAAGGGUAAAAAUGCUGUUUUUAUUGCUUGCUAUGUACUUUUUUGGCUGAAGUCUACUUUGACAUGGUAGACGAAAAGGCUGACGGACUUGAGCAACAGUUGAUGAUAGUGUGUGAACAGGUGGAGCUUAAAAUGCCGCAGCCGGACUUGAACGACUCAAGCGGAUGCCACAGUUUUUUUUUUACUGUUCAACGUGCCUAUCCGGCCAUGCAACAUGAGCUCAACUCCAGUCUGCUUGCGCUGGCACGGCCCUGUUGCGUGGUGCGAUGCAGUCGUAGGCACGCGGCACAGCAAUGCACCGACUCCGUCAUCUGAGCACGGCCUCCACCCGCAACUCUGCACCCCACUCGCUUCGCUGGCGGCUCCGACGCAACGCCAUCCAGGAGCUGACCGCCGGCAUCAGCAGCGUUGAAUUGCUCUGGCUCGCCCAUGUCUUAGGUGCCUGACCCUGUCACCGCCUCCAGUGGCCGUGCAUUGGCAGGAGCAGGGGCUGCCUGGCUUCCCCACACAGAGUGGGGGUGCCGGACCUAGGUGCCCCGCGCUGAGGUCUCUCCUGUCAUGAGAGUGGGCACAACAGGCCAUUGCACAGAAACACGGGACUGGAUGGGGUUUUCAAGGUUUCUUUGCGUAAUACUGCGUGCUGAGGGAGGUCAAAUGGAAGCCGAGAAUAAAUACCUACGAUAAAUGUCUUCAUGGACUUCCUGUCUUUCUCUCUGCUGCUCUUGGCUUUCAG